RNAcentral lists this ribosomal RNA (497 nucleotides) under uncultured bacterium. Its description in RNAcentral is "partial 16S ribosomal RNA". It matches the Rfam family "Bacterial small subunit ribosomal RNA", at positions 28 to 507 of the family's 1533-position model. The record is from RNAcentral.
GAUGAACGCUGGCGGCGUGCCUAAUACAUGCAAGUCGUGCGAACAGACGAGGAGCUUGCUCCUCUGACGUUAGCGGCGGACGGGUGAGUAACACGUGGAUAACCUACCUAUAAGACUGGGAUAACUUCGGGAAACCGGAGCUAAUACCGGAUAAUAUAUUGAACCGCAUGGUUCAAUAGUGAAAGACGGUUUUGCUGUCACUUAUAGAUGGAUCCGCGCCGCAUUAGCUAGUUGGUAAGGUAACGGCUUACCAAGGCGACGAUGCGUAGCCGACCUGAGAGGGUGAUCGGCCACACUGGAACUGAGACACGGUCCAGACUCCUACGGGAGGCAGCAGUAGGGAAUCUUCCGCAAUGGGCGAAAGCCUGACGGAGCAACGCCGCGUGAGUGAUGAAGGUCUUCGGAUCGUAAAACUCUGUUAUUAGGGAAGAACAAAUGUGUAAGUAACUAUGCACGUCUUGACGGUACCUAAUCAGAAAGCCACGGCUAACUACGUG